UUCCAGACUCCUACGGGAGGCAGCAGUGAGGAAUAUUGGUCAAUGGCCGGAAGGCUGAACCAGCCAUGCCGCGUGAAGGUCAGUGCCCUAUGGGCGUUAAACUUCUUUUGUGCGGGAGCAAUAAUGGUCACGUGUGGCCAGACGAGAGUACCGUACGAAUAAGCAUCGGCUAACUCCGUGCCAGCAGCCGCGGUAAUACGGAGGAUGCGAGCGUUAUCCGGAUUUAUUGGGUUUAAAGGGUGCGUAGGCGGUUUUUUAAGUUAGUGGUUAAACGUCGGGGCUUCACCUUGAUUUGCCAUUAAUACUGUAAGACUCGAGUUCAGACGAGGUAGGCGGAAUAAGUUAAGUAGCGGUGAAAUGCUUAGAUAUAACUUAGAACUCCGAUAGCGAAGGCAGCUUACCAGACUGCGACUGACGCUGAAGCACGAGAGCGUGGGUAGCGAACAGGAUUAGAUACCCGCGUA
Molecule: ribosomal RNA, 464 nt
Filed under: uncultured bacterium
Lineage: Bacteria
Description: bacterial SSU rRNA
Rfam family: Bacterial small subunit ribosomal RNA
Source: RNAcentral